GGGGCUGUAGCUCAGUUGGGAGAGCACAACACUGGCAGUGUUGGGGUCAGGGGUUCGACCCCCCUCAGCUCCACCA
This 76-nucleotide transfer RNA is filed under the name Candidatus Omnitrophota bacterium. RNAcentral's name for it is "tRNA-Ala". It matches the Rfam family "tRNA". From Rfam's summary of the family: Transfer RNA (tRNA) molecules are approximately 80 nucleotides in length. Their secondary structure includes four short double-helical elements and three loops (D, anti-codon, and T loops). Further hydrogen bonds mediate the characteristic L-shaped molecular structure. tRNAs have two regions of fundamental functional importance: the anti-codon, which is responsible for specific mRNA codon recognition, and the 3' end, to which the tRNAs corresponding amino acid is attached (by aminoacyl-tRNA synthetases). tRNAs cope with the degeneracy of the genetic code in two manners: having more than one tRNA (with a specific anti-codon) for a particular amino acid; and 'wobble' base-pairing, i.e. permitting non-standard base-pairing at the 3rd anti-codon position. Lineage: Bacteria; Pseudomonadati; Candidatus Omnitrophota. The record is from RNAcentral.